This is a long non-coding RNA of Alligator sinensis (Chinese alligator), 374 nucleotides long. RefSeq lists it as uncharacterized. NCBI's taxonomy places the organism in Eukaryota, Metazoa, Chordata, Crocodylia, Alligatoridae. The transcript is spliced from 4 exons. The record is from RefSeq and is a predicted model, not a curated record.
UGCUGCUUUGACUCUCGUCACAGCCCAUACCUCUGACGUCCUCCACUGACAAAUAAGGAACUUGAAAAUCAACUUGAACACUACUAUGCCCUAGAAGAGCUGUGGUUUGAGAAAAAGCCUAUCUGCUUGCAGAGUCCUAGAAGAACUUGCAUGGUAAUUCAGGAAUGGGAAAAAAAAUUAGAGGAAUGGUGACACCUUUUCACUUAGAGAGGAAUAAAGUCAAACAAAUUGCAUCGUACCUUUGGACCUAACUGACAGUCCAGUCCCUCUCUUCUGCUCAGAUAUAAAGUCAUAACAACAACCUGUGUAUGAAACCUAAUAAGAUCAGCUAACUUCUAUCAGUUGUAAGAAGAGUACAUUUCACUGAUAAUAAA